RNAcentral lists this ribosomal RNA (179 nucleotides) under uncultured bacterium. Its description in RNAcentral is "partial 16S ribosomal RNA". It matches the Rfam family "Bacterial small subunit ribosomal RNA", at positions 1322 to 1500 of the family's 1533-position model. The record is from RNAcentral.
GAAGCUGGAAUCGCUAGUAAUCGCGAAUCAGAAUGUCGCGGUGAAUACGUUCCCGGGCCUUGUACACACCGCCCGUCACACCAUGGGAGUUGGAAGCACCCGAAGUCGGUGACCUGACCGUAAGGAGGGAGCCGCCGAAGGUGAAGCCAGCGACUGGGGUGAAGUCGUAACAAGGUACC